GUAAUACAUCGGAACAUGUCCUGUAGUGGGGGAUAGCCCGGCGAAAGCCGGAUUAAUACCGCAUACGAUCUAUGGAUGAAAGCGGGGGACCUUCGGGCCUCGCGCUAUAGGGUUGGCCGAUGGCUGAUUAGCUAGUUGGUGGGGUAAAGGCCUACCAAGGCGACGAUCAGUAGCUGGUCUGAGAGGACGACCAGCCACACUGGGACUGAGACACGGCCCAGACUCCUACGGGAGGCAGCAGUGGGGAAUUUUGGACAAUGGGCGAAAGCCUGAUCCAGCAAUGCCGCGUGUGUGAAGAAGGCCUUCGGGUUGUAAAGCACUUUUGUCCGGAAAGAAAUCCUUGGCUCUAAUACAGUCGGGGGAUGACGGUACCGGAAGAAUAAGCACCGGCUAACUACGUGCCAGCAGCCGCGGUAAUACGUAGGGUGCAAGCGUUAAUCGGAAUUACUGGGCGUAAAGCGUGCGCAGGCGGUUUGCUAAGACCGAUGUGAAAUCCCCGG
Molecule: ribosomal RNA, 500 nt
Filed under: Burkholderia vietnamiensis
Lineage: Bacteria; Pseudomonadati; Pseudomonadota; Betaproteobacteria; Burkholderiales; Burkholderiaceae
Description: bacterial SSU rRNA
Rfam family: Bacterial small subunit ribosomal RNA
Source: RNAcentral